GAGGGGGACAACAGUUGGAAACGACUGCUAAUACCGCAUACGAUCUAACCUCGGCAUCGAGGAUAGAUGAAAGGUGGCCUCUACAUGUAAGCUAUCACUGAAGGAGGGGAUUGCGUCUGAUUAGCUAGUUGGAGGGGUAACGGCCCACCAAGGCGAUGAUCAGUAGCCGGUCUGAGAGGAUGAACGGCCACAUUGGGACUGAGACACGGCCCAG
This 214-nucleotide ribosomal RNA is filed under the name uncultured bacterium. RNAcentral's name for it is "partial 16S ribosomal RNA". It matches the Rfam family "Bacterial small subunit ribosomal RNA", at positions 136 to 334 of the family's 1533-position model. The record is from RNAcentral.